This 73-nucleotide transfer RNA is filed under the name Bacillus cereus. RNAcentral's name for it is "tRNA-Val". It matches the Rfam family "tRNA". Rfam says of the family: Transfer RNA (tRNA) molecules are approximately 80 nucleotides in length. Their secondary structure includes four short double-helical elements and three loops (D, anti-codon, and T loops). Further hydrogen bonds mediate the characteristic L-shaped molecular structure. tRNAs have two regions of fundamental functional importance: the anti-codon, which is responsible for specific mRNA codon recognition, and the 3' end, to which the tRNAs corresponding amino acid is attached (by aminoacyl-tRNA synthetases). tRNAs cope with the degeneracy of the genetic code in two manners: having more than one tRNA (with a specific anti-codon) for a particular amino acid; and 'wobble' base-pairing, i.e. permitting non-standard base-pairing at the 3rd anti-codon position. Lineage: Bacteria; Bacillati; Bacillota; Bacilli; Caryophanales; Bacillaceae. The record is from RNAcentral.
UCUCCCGUAGCUCAGCAGGGAGAGCGCCACCUUGACAGGGUGGAGGUCGGAAGUUCGAGCCCUCUCGGGGUCA